CCCAACUAUCCCUAUUAAUCAUUACAUCGAUCCUAGAAACCAACAAAAUAGAAUGCGAUGUCCUAUUUCAUUAUUCCAUGCUAAUGUAUUCAAGCGUUGGCCUGCUUUAAACACUCUAAUUUUUUCAAGGUAACAGUCCUAAUUCCCCACAACAUCAAAUGAAUGACAUCAUGGUUCCUUAGAAGGUGAGAACCGAUGGGACCAGUACAUACCGAUGGCAUGACCGAUCCAUCGAUCCCGAGGUUCAACUACGAGCUUUUUAACUGCAACAACUUUAAUAUACGCUAUUGGAGCUGGAAUUACCGCGGCUGCUGGCACCAGACUUGCCCUCCAA
This 334-nucleotide unclassified non-coding RNA is filed under the name uncultured Glomeraceae. RNAcentral's name for it is "sequence contains 18S rRNA gene". Lineage: Eukaryota; Fungi; Glomeromycota; Glomeromycetes; Glomerales; Glomeraceae. The record is from RNAcentral.